CCCCCCGGGGGGAUUAGCAUAUCAAUAAGCGGAGGAAAAGAAACUAACAAGGAUUCCCCUAGUAACUGCGAGUGAAGCGGGAAAAGCUCAAAUUUAAAAUCUGGCGGUCUUUGGCCGUCCGAGUUGUAGUCUGGAGAAGUGCUUUCCGCGCUGGACCGUGUAUAAGUCUCUUGGAACAGAGCGUCAUAGAGGGUGAGAAUCCCGUCUUUGACACGGACUACCAGUGCUUUGUGAUGCGCUCUCAAAGAGUCGAGUUGUUUGGGAAUGCAGCUCAAAAUGGGUGGUGAAUUCCAUCUAAAGCUAAAUAUUGGCGAGAGACCGAUAGCGAACAAGUACCGUGAGGGAAAGAUGAAAAGCACUUUGGAAAGAGAGUUAAACAGUACGUGAAAUUGCUGAAAGGGAAACGCUUGAAGUCAGUCGCGUUGUCCGGAACUCAGCCUUGCUUUUGCUUGGUGCACUUUCCGGAUGACGGGUCAGCAUCGAUUUUGACCGUCGGAAAAGGGCUGGAGUAAUGUGGCACCUCCGGGUGUGUUAUAGACUCUGGUCGCAUACGGCGGUUGGGAUCGAGGAACGCAGCGCGCCGCAAGGCAGGGGUUCGCCCACUUUCGCGCUUAGGAUGCUGGCAUAAUGGCUUUAAACGACCCGUCUUGAAACACGGACCAAGGAGUCUAACAUACCUGCGAGUGUUUGGGUGGAAAACCCGAGCGCGUAAUGAAAGUGAAAGUUGAGAUCCCUGUCGUGGGGAGCAUCGACGCCCGGACCAGACGUUCUCUGACGGAUCCGCGGUAGAGCAUGUAUGUUGGGACCCGAAAGAUGGUGAACUAUGCCUGAAUAGGGUGAAGCCAGAGGAAACUCUGGUGGAGGCUCGUAGCGAUUCUGACGUGCAAAUCGAUCGUCAAAUUUGGGUAUAGGGGCGAAAGACUAAUCGAACCAUCUAGUAGCUGGUUCCUGCCGAAUCUCCUCCCUAGGAUAAAUC
RNAcentral lists this ribosomal RNA (976 nucleotides) under Fomes sp. RNAcentral's name for it is "partial large subunit ribosomal RNA". It matches the Rfam family "Eukaryotic large subunit ribosomal RNA", at positions 24 to 985 of the family's 3401-position model. Lineage: Eukaryota; Fungi; Basidiomycota; Agaricomycetes; Polyporales; Polyporaceae. The record is from RNAcentral.